UGCAACAGCGCCAGCACCGUGAACUGGCUU
This 30-nucleotide non-coding RNA is filed under the name Mus musculus (house mouse). The record is from RNAcentral. Lineage: Eukaryota; Metazoa; Chordata; Mammalia; Rodentia; Muridae.